AUCACAAGAUCACAGGAGGUAUGACAAAAACGUAGCCAUAUCCAGUGCCUACAUGCUCUUACCUCACCUGCACAGCUUCUGGGAUUUCUUUUUGAGAGGCAGGAGAGGGGUGCUUGGCAGUGCUGCCCAUGGAUGCCAGACUACAGCUUCUGAACUCACAGCACCUAGGGGAGGGUACUUGCAUGUAGCAGCUCUGUUAAAAAAAAAAGAGCUAGGGUACUGCUUGUCAGCUGAAAACCUCCAGGAACUGCCCAUGGAGGAAUGAAGAAGUUGCAUUUGCACACCUGGAGGCAUGGACAGACUUUCUGUUUUGAAGGACUUCAAGGGAUAUUGGCUGUACUAUCUAGGUCUCAACCUGGAAAUGCUCUGCAUGCUCUGAAAUACCAUGUUCUUCCAGCGAUAUCUCCAGUGAGUACCAAAUUUUGUGGAUGCCAACGGAAUCACCAUGCCAUUGCAACUGAUUUAAAGAUAAGCAUCAGAUACAAGUCAUUUAUUAUUAAUCAGAUUAUGCUUUUGCCUUGAAAGCAAAAAAUACGUGAAAGUAAAUCACCUUUUCUCCUUGUGGGUUUUCCACAGAGGGAUAUGUAGUUCCUCACUUCCAGUAGUACCUUUGACCACAUGACAGCCUUCAGAUGAAGCUAUGUCUGGGUACUCACUUCACUUCAGACAUUAGGAUGGACUUUUUCUACUACAUAUUGGACAGUUGGACUACUUAUAUUAAGGAACCCUUAGCAAAUACCUUUGUGUAUUGCUUAGUUUGCUUGCAGUGGAGCUUUUGUCACAGACUAUCCAAAAGGAAUGUCUUUCAGCAUCGGAGAUCAUGGUUUGAUUUCUGACCAAACUGGUCAGCUUCCUCCCCAUCAGGGAAAGCUUGCAAAAGGAUUAGGGCUCUAUAUGAUGAAGCAAAUCUAUGAAAAAUGCCACCAAAACUUGUUUGAAUUUGUUACUAAGUAGCCAAUAAAAUUAAUUUCAUGUAGAAUCCAAAGACACUCUGGCAAAGUCCAAGAAAUUAAAAAAAGGUAGAGAAGGGGUUCAUCUGUAAAGGUUUGUAAUUUAAUCCAACACACUGGCUUUAAAUAUCUUUCAUGAUGUGGAAAUCAUAGAGGUUUGAUUUCUGUUUAGGCAGCUGGACUUUGGUUGGAUAUUACAGGCUUCAUCAUCCUGAUGAUAUUCUAUUCCGAGCUGUUUCAUACUGGAUUUCUUUCACUGUCUGCCCAGUGUAAACAGCAGUUGUUAAAGGGCUUGUCAGUGCAUUUCUGCAUUGCCUGAUACACCCUCCUGUUACGCUUGGGCUGACCUUUGAAAGCCUUCAAUCACAGCAGAAGCUGCAACAAGGAAACUACGUUAAUAAAAAUAGCACUUUUGUGCUAAUUGAUUCCAGACUGCACAACAGCUCCUACUGCAAAUAAGGAGCAAGGAGCGCGCUGGCAAAUAGGAGGUUUAGAGCAGAAAACUACAGUAGCCAAGUUAAUCCAGGAAGCACAAGGGCAUCAGAAUUCUGUGAAUUUUUAUCUACUUUCCAAAUCGCCCAGAAGUGUCACGUAAUUGCACAACUGUCCUUUGAUUUCUAUGUGGAAUGAUUCUUCCUCUCAUAAAGCUGAGACCUCUACAACAUCACUGUGUUGUCCCAAGGCCUUGACAAGGUCACAGUGGCAGCUGGGGAUGCCUGGGGGAUCCUUCCUGAUUAGCUGGUGUGGAGACCCCCACACUCCUCAGACCUGCUGUAUGCAUUCCUCAGUUUCCAUCCUUGAGGAAGAGCCAGGACCACCAAGUUAGUUGCAGGAGAGCAAAUGAAAGCAUUCCCAGCCUCACGCUGCUGUGCUAGGAAAUUUUUGCUAUGGAAGGUAUUGAUGAUAUUGUAGGAAGAGAUUAGAGCAGGGCUGAGGUGCAGUAAAUCUGUCCCACUAUCCGUUGAUCAUAUUUAUGGUGCAGAACGAGUCUUGCAACUCUUUCAAGGGCAAGCAAGACUUGCCUAGGGGAAGCCACGUUGUUGACAAAGCAGCCAGAGAGUAAUUUCAGUGCAAGGAGACACCUUGUGCAGCUGCCUGUUUUUGCAGGUCUGAGGCCAGCCUUUACAGCUCUGGAGAGUGUGACUGAGUUGCUGACCAAGUGCUGCGAUGAUGAUAAUUCAGAUGUUUUUUAGCACAAUCUACAUAAUCUGUUUUUGCAUAUGAUGCUGUGUUUAUAAUACAGGAAUAUCCCAGCAAAUUAAUUGAAUUCAAGGAGUGUUUCCCAGGGUAUGCAAGUAUAGGUUGGAAAGUUCAACCUUUAAUUCAGGUGGUCUAAGUUUUCCUGGGAUUUUAGUUUUAAGUCACUGCAAUAGAGACAGAAAAUAGAUAAUUUUUUCCAGGAAAACCACUUAUUUAGAUGAUAUUAACACUCACAAUGUCCUGGGUGUUCUGUAAAGCUGAUGUCUAUAAAACUCUUCGUAUACAAAGAUAUAUAUUUGUAUUUAUAGUUUCUCCCAAACCUAAUAGUAUUUCACACAGUUGGUACAUUCAAGAAAAAUACCUGGAAAACUCACAAGUUGAAAAAAAAUAUAUAAAAUCAUUAAAGAUGCUUGGUUUUAGUUAUUAUUUUCAUUUUUUUUUUAUUAUCAUCAGCAAGGUCCAGAGCCAGCCAGAUUUUUCUGCAAUGUGACAUCGAUGGUAUUUAAUUUGUUUAUAUUUUCUAGCACUUUUUCUUCCUGUGCCUUCCUUUUAAAUUUGAAAUGGUCACUUCAUUUCUAAGGGAGGCUGACAACCAUUUUGUUCUCUAGAGAAUAUCUCUUUCACCAAUGUGUGAAAGCAUAAGAACCCACUCCAAAAAAGUUUGCUGUUUUCUAUUUACAGGUACAAGUGGUCAGCUUUUAAACUACUCUAAUAUUUGUUGAUCUGCAACUUUCUUUUCAGAUAAAAAUGUAUCUGCUGAGCUUUAUGACUGGGUGAUAUUCAAAAAAUGUCAACACAUUUGGCCUCCACAUUUUUCUAAAGAAGAAGACAUCGUUCAUGUUCAAAAAUCCAAUAUUCAGUCUUUACAUCUGUGACUGCACUAAGGGCCUAUUCUUCAUUUGGCUUCAUUAGGAAUUAUGUUUUUAGAAAUAUCCUAUAUAUUUAUGGAAGUAGAAGGAUGGGCUCCAUGUUUUAGAUUGGAACUCAAACACUAAAACAUGCCUGAAGGUGUCUCUGAUUAAUAUUUGCCCUUGAACCUUCCUAACUCCCAUCUGAGAUGCUAUCCUGCCACUGCUCUCCAGAUCCCCAUUGCUGCUCUCUUUAGGGCAUGUUUAAGGUUAAGGUGGUUUGCAGCUUCAGAGAAGAAGCUGAAAACCUAGAAAAGCUAAUGUUUUUCCUGUGAUAAAGGCAGGAGCAGCCUGAAAUAGCACAACCCACUCUGUGUUGCUCUCUGCUUGGUCUUCUUGGCUUGCUCUUGUUGGCCUCCUCUGAGGGACAUGACUGUGGUACAGUAAUUGCAGAUGCCUCUUGCAAUGAAGAGGAGCCUUCAGAUAAAGCCUUUCAUGCUACAAAAACAUGGGGUCAGCUUUUAAAGACAUUUAAGCAUGCCAAGAUGUGGACAGGCAGAAAUGAGAUUUUAAAAAUUCAUAGGUACCUCAUUUAGAUAUUUAGAAGCUUUGAAAAGGCCACUUUAUGGUUUCUUUGCCCAAAUGCACCUCAAAAGUCAGGUCUUUAGGGCAGGACAGACUACUGUUUGCAAACACUUGGUUUCUCAAACUCUAAUUUUUUCCUUCCAUUUGUAAGUCAUCCAGAAAUAUGGCCCUUUCUAACAAAAGAAAGCAAUAAAAUUAUUUAAAAUGGGUUGCUGAGCUGUUUUGUGGACAUUUCUGAGCUAUGCAUUGCCAUUUGUCAGCUGUUUGCAGUAAACAUUCAGUUGACUCUUUGAUGUAGGGUUUGUAUUUGGCUUCCUAAAUCACAAGUUCUGCAUUAUUUUCCCAGAACGGAUGAUGUAAUUUUAUAAAUGACUUCUGUUUCUUUCUAUAAUAAAUUUUCAGCAUAUAAUACA
Haemorhous mexicanus (house finch) is the source of this 3996-nucleotide long non-coding RNA. RefSeq lists it as uncharacterized. NCBI's taxonomy places the organism in Eukaryota, Metazoa, Chordata, Aves, Passeriformes, Fringillidae. The record is from RefSeq and is a predicted model, not a curated record. The transcript has 3 exons.